GUGGGCUACGGUGACAUUUACCCUAAAACAUUACUAGGGAAAAUUGUGGGAGGCCUCUGCUGUAUUGCUGGGGUUCUGGUCAUUGCCCUUCCCAUCCCAAUCAUUGUGAACAAU
Non-coding RNA from Ictidomys tridecemlineatus (thirteen-lined ground squirrel), 114 nucleotides. Lineage: Eukaryota; Metazoa; Chordata; Mammalia; Rodentia; Sciuridae. The record is from Rfam.